RNAcentral lists this transfer RNA (77 nucleotides) under Candidatus Komeilibacteria bacterium CG10_big_fil_rev_8_21_14_0_10_41_13. RNAcentral describes it as "tRNA-Met". It matches the Rfam family "tRNA". From Rfam's summary of the family: Transfer RNA (tRNA) molecules are approximately 80 nucleotides in length. Their secondary structure includes four short double-helical elements and three loops (D, anti-codon, and T loops). The record is from RNAcentral. Lineage: Bacteria; Candidatus Komeiliibacteriota.
GGCGGCGUAGCUCAGUUGGUUAGAGCGUAGGAUUCAUAAACCUAAGGUCGGUGGUUCGAUUCCACCCGCCGCUACCA